AUCACUUCUCGGCCUUUUGGCUAAGAUCAAGUGUAGUAGCUGGGACCACAGGUACCCACCACAACAUCCAGCUAUUUUUUGGUUGCAGUUGUCAUUGUUGUUUGGCAGGCCCGUGCUGGAUUCAAACCCGCCAGCUCUGGUGUAUGUGACUGGCGCCUUGGCCACUUAAGCCACAGGCGCUGAGCCC
Molecule: small nuclear RNA, 187 nt
Organism: Nycticebus coucang (slow loris)
Lineage: Eukaryota; Metazoa; Chordata; Mammalia; Primates; Lorisidae
Product: U2 spliceosomal RNA
Exons: 1
Source: RefSeq, a predicted model, not a curated record